CAGAGGUAUGUACAAAACUGCAGAUAACGCAAUGCAAAAUCAGCAGGCACAGAAAAGACCCCUAUACAUACAUUGAUGCUAGUCCCCCUAUAUCGUUAGAUGCCUAAACAGGCAACUUUUAAAAUUGUAAUAUAAUAUCCCAGGUCUGGAAUGAAAGUACAGGCAUUCUAAAACGGAAGGAAUUAACAACAUAUUGCAGAAAAAUCAAAUAAUAAUAAGGAAAAUGAUAAUUCAAUGGGAGCAGCCCAAGCAGAGGUUGCUUCAAUAUGAGACAGAAUCCUAAAAUCAGAACAUAAAAGUGAAGCAAAAGAAAAGGUCAAAACAUUCUUGUAGGGAAGUUCUUAAAGAAAGUUGCACAGCUGGACAAGAAAGCAUUAGAUGGCGAAAAGAGGUAACAUUUUGUCAGAUGCCAAAUUAAAACUCAUCAUCAUCCUCCUCGGCUAUGUGCUUUGCAAGCUCCUGCUCUUGCUGUUGUCUCUCCCUUCUCUUCUCAGCACUUUCUUUCUCCUUGUGGGAAUUUGGCGGAAACCUAAGUGCGCGAACUGCCUCAUUAUGCAUAUUGAGGCAGAAAGCAAUCCUCGAGUUAAACGCAAUUUGAGGCUCAUUUGUUGAAUAGAUAUCUCCUGUUUCCUUUGAUACCAUCCACCCAUUAGCAUGAUCAAUAGUUGCAUCAAUUGCACCAUCUCGUAUUGCCUUGGCUACAAUACUCUCAGCAUCAGCAACAGGGUUUGCAGUGUCCAACCUUAACUUCUUGGCCACAUCAGCUAGUGAAAUUCGAGAAUAAGAAAUACUGAUGUUGCGAAGUCCAGUCCUUAUGACGUUGUGCCGCAGUCUAACAAUUAAAUUAUGAGUCCUGUCUGAACUGAAAGUGGUUGAGAACUUCUCUGCAACAGAUUUAAAGAGCUCCAAAUCACCUAUCCGAACGGCCUGAAAACCCACAAGCCAGUUAAAAUACUAUUAGUCAUCACCAAGACAAAUAUUUCAAAGAUAAGUAACAGCAAACCUUCUUUAGCACGGUUCCAUGUAGCAUGGUGAUUGCCAUAAGAAAUCAAGACACAAGUUCUCAACCACCAACCCACCACAUAAAACUUGAAUCUCAAAUUUUCUAACCUUGCUUUCAAUAGAUAAAGUAAAUCAAACAAGUCAAUUUGAUAAGCCUAGACUCACAUUUGUCAAUUCAAAGUAUGGCCUUAAAGCAUUUUCCAUCCCUUUCUGCAUAAAAACAGUCCUCUCAGGAAUUUCUCCCAACAAUAAUCUGACAAUAAUUGCCCAUUUAUUGCAUUGAACUCGAAAACCAAGCGCAGCAACAGGCGCUUUCCGAGCAGCUUGAAGGAGGGACUCUUUUGCAUCAGUGUACUCCAACUGAAUUGUCCUAAUCUUUCCCAGGUAAAACAGGUACCGACAGAACUGCUGAUUUGAGUGAGCUUCAAAUCGUGGGGCCUUUGACCUCAGCUUCUCUGCUUGAUCAUAUAAAUUGUAGUGGAGGUAAUUGCGGAGUAGCAGGUUGAGAAGUGUUUCCUGGCCAAGUUCAUCAUGGCGCAAUGUUGCAAUGCGGUGAAGAGCAAGGAGGUUACCUCUGAUUUCAGCAAGAUCGCCGGUGAGUUCAUAGCUAAGAGAGUAAUAAAAGUAGAGCCUGGAUGCCAGAACAUCAACAGUCCUCCUAUUCAGAUUCUUCAGCCGGGCCACACUCGCUGAUGAACAAGCUUUAGCCUCAUUAUAUUUCUUCUGAUCAAUCAGAUAUAUUAGCACCAGCAAGUAGCAGUAUAUCUCCAGCUCUGGUAAGGGGUGUUUCACAGGAGUUUGAGUCACAGAUGUUGCAGUGUCAACCUCCAUUUCAUGUUCAUCCUCCUUGGGAAGAUAGGAGGCUAGCCGAUUAUGAGGUUCGGAUCCCGGAGUAAGAGCGAAAUUGAGGAAGGCAGAGAGCACCUGAGCCUUGAGCUUUCGCCUUAAGGCCAUUGUCAGGCGCACAGCACGCACUAUCCGCCGCACCUCCCUGGCAUAGGCACCGGUCUCAAUCAGGGAAGCAAUCUCCUUCAAAUGGUGGAGGGUUGAAGGGGAAGAGGAUGCGGUGGAGUUGGAGGGAGCUGGGACCUCUUUCAUCUCGACGUCUUGAGUCAUAUUGAAGGCUUGAAUAGAGAGAGAGUUGAUCCGGCCACUGUCGAAGAAGGGAGGGCUUAUGCACUGCACAUCUACUUUUCUUUCCCUGCAAGUCUAGCUAAGAAGGCAACUAGACAAGGGGAAACAAAG
Molecule: unclassified non-coding RNA, 2247 nt
Filed under: Hevea brasiliensis (rubber tree)
Lineage: Eukaryota; Viridiplantae; Streptophyta; Magnoliopsida; Malpighiales; Euphorbiaceae
Source: RNAcentral